GGUGCCAUGGUCUAGUGGUAUGACGAGACAUUGUGGUGUCCUAAAUCUGUCUUAGCCCCGGUUCGAUUCCGGGUGGCGCCA
RNAcentral lists this transfer RNA (81 nucleotides) under Penicillium italicum. It matches the Rfam family "tRNA". Rfam says of the family: Transfer RNA (tRNA) molecules are approximately 80 nucleotides in length. Their secondary structure includes four short double-helical elements and three loops (D, anti-codon, and T loops). Lineage: Eukaryota; Fungi; Ascomycota; Eurotiomycetes; Eurotiales; Aspergillaceae. The record is from Rfam by way of RNAcentral.